Molecule: unclassified non-coding RNA, 3484 nt
Filed under: Chelonus insularis
Lineage: Eukaryota; Metazoa; Arthropoda; Insecta; Hymenoptera; Braconidae
Description: dorsal-ventral patterning tolloid-like protein 1, transcript variant X1
Source: RNAcentral
GUUCGAGAGACAGAAAGGAAGAAGGCUGCGUUAAAGGGAGAGAGACUCCAGUACGUGCAAAGUGGAUACGAGUUCGUGGGCUUUUUCUCUCUGUAGGUCAUCUAUUGCGUGGAAAGUCGUUGAAACGAGUAUAUUAAAUACAAAAACAAAAGUGAACACAUUUCAAUAAUAACAACACAAUCCAUAAGAAGCCAAGUGAAUAAUGAUAAACAACUUGAAUAGAUGAUGGUUUGGUCAAACGUUUGGUGAAAUAAGUGUCAAGCAGCAGCAGCAGUCGAUGAUCAAAACAAUCAGAUUGAUGCUGAAAUAACUGAAAAUAAUACUAAAUAAUGAGUACCUUGAGGCGUCAUUAUUGUGUCAAGAAUGUGGAUACGGAAGUCGAAGAAGUGCAUCAUCACACGAGGUCAGCUCACUAGCGUUGUAGGAAGCAGCAGAAAAAGGGAAAACGAGAGAUACGUAGAAGAGAGAAGAAAGGAGUGUGCGCAAGCCAACAAACGCUCGUCUGCAUUCAAGAUGGUUUAGCUUGGAUUUUUGGGGGUUUAAGCUGUCCAAUUUGCACGAGAAUUAACAGAUCAGAAAUACACGGGUAGCAAUGUGGUGGUCGUGAGACACACAACAGCCACGCGAGAUAUCUCAGUGGACUAAAAACCAACCACGAGGCUCUAGAAAAACAAUCUCUUUCCAGCAGAGGAAAGAUUUGGAAAAACAUGCCUAGGACACUAUCACGAUGAUCUCUUGGAUCAACUUUCCUCGUGCUUCCUGGGCCUGGAAUAGACACUGACGAUAUGGACACAGUAUGGCUUCGGUACUGUGGCAUGCCUCUGGGAGUAGUUUCGUCUUGCCUGCCAUCGUCUUCUUUCUGCUACUUUGUCCACGUGCUAUCACAGCCCGCGAGGUAAUUGAUGUGCCACUGCCACAGCAAGACUUCGUUCCAUCCCUAUCGCCACCACCACCGGGACCCUUCACCACUGCCAAAACACCAAGGUGUGACCAGACAUUUGUCAGUGUCAAAGAUGGUCCGGAAAAUGGUACAUUUCAUGCGCCUACUUUGAUUAAUCCGAAACGUGAAUCACAGCAGUGUGUCUAUACCUUCCUUGCAGCACCUCAUCAACGGGUGGAAGUUGUUUUUACAACUUUUGGCCUUCGCGGCACUCCGCCAGAUGGAGCUGCUGUUGGGGAAUUACCUGCCUGUGCUCAUGAGUACAUGGAUGUCUACACGGAGAUACGAUCAGAAAAUGCAACCAAGCUGAUAGAAACACCCUUCGGUGGGCGAUAUUGCGGCCCUAUUCCACCGAGAAGACGAGUAUCUCUCUACCGCGGGAUUGCACUUAGUUUCUAUACAGACAAGAAUAUCACGUUACCAAGUCUCUUUAGCGGUCGAUACGCUUUCAUCAACGCCUCUGAGUACGAAAUCGGAACACCAGCGCCUUAUACACCAUGUUCUUUCUUGGUAAAUUCAACAGUCAAAGGCACUGGAUCUAUUCUAUCGCCUACUUAUCCUGGGACUUAUCCGAAGGAUCUUGUUUGUACGUACCGGUUUAUCGGCAAGAUUGGCCAGAGGAUUCGACUUGAGUUUCGGGACUUUGACCUUUUUUAUGGAGGUCCUCACUGCCCUUUUGACUAUGUAAAAGUUUAUGAUGGAUUGGAUAAUACAGCCCCAACAAUUGGGACUUAUUGCGGUCAGCAACGUAAUUUGGUGCUAUAUUCUUCACAAUCUAAUCUUACUGUACUCUUUGUAACACUGCAGCGAACUGCAAAUACACAAAAUCGUGGAUUUAAAGGAAUUUUUGAAUUUUCUGAAAGCUUUGUAAAAUUAGAUUUUAUAAAUAAUUCUGGAGGAAUGCAUAUACGAGGAUCAGAGUGUGAUCAGAAAAUCUUGAGCAAGAAAGGAGGUGUGCCAGGAUUUGUUGUCAGUCCCAAUUAUCCUUAUCCUUACAUACCAAAGGUUGUGUGUCGUUACUUUAUCUACGGUAUGCAGGAUUCUCAGCAUCUUGAACGUGUGAAACUCGAGUUCUUAAUGUUUGAAAUAUCUAAAGGAGAAGCCAAAGGAGAAUCCGCAUGUACUGAUGGAUACUUGAAAAUCUACCUGAAAGGUCAAGAAGCAACUGACUCGUACGACAAGUUUGACUAUGAAUUUUGCGGUAAUGAAACGAAUCCGAGCCAAAUAGUUAGUGACGGGCCUCGUCUCGUUAUGGUGUUCAGCAGCGGGGAGCUCAAGCAAGGCCGGGGUUUCAAAGCUAGGUAUAGCUUUGAAACCGAGUACAAAAUACCCGGUACCGCUGCACCGGACGGCAGCUGCACAUUCACUUAUCGAAGUUCCUCACGGAAAAAAGGGGAAUUUAACUCACCACGUUACCCAAGUAAUUAUCCGAGCGAUACAAAUUGCACUUAUCUCUUCUUGGGAACGCGCAAUGAACAAGUUACUCUUGUUUUUGAUAAUUUCAAAGUUCGAACGAGUGUGACUAACGAUUCCGUUGGAUCUUAUGGACCAAUCACCUGCCAAGAUGAUUGGUUAGAGAUUUACAACAUAUACCAAGAUAGUACAGAGAAGUUAAUUGGAAGAUACUGUGGAAUGACUGCGCCAGGUCCUGUGGAAUCCAAUCUCGGUGCUCUUGGUCUAAAAGUCAUUCUUCACUCUGACUCGGAACACGUGUAUAGUGGCUUUAAAGCUCGUUACACUUUUGAUGUUGCUAAAUCCAUUUUCGGAGAUUGUGGCUCAAAUAUUAGCAGUCUCGAUUCUGGAGUAAUAACGAGUCCAAACUAUCCUGAAAAAUAUGACGGCCCAUCUCGAAAUGCUUCCAGCAAAACUUGCAAUUGGUUUGUAAGUGUGCGUCCUUACCACAGGAUAUUAUUGAAUUUUUUUAAUUUUUCUGUGGAAGGUGAACAAUCUGUCAGAGGAUGUCCAGCUGCCGUUUUGAGGAUGUGGCUUUCACAAACCUCUACGCCGAUUGAAUUGUGCGGUGGGAAACCUAACGAUAUUUCGUGGAGUUAUUUGUCAGAUGAUCACAAUAUACGGCUUAGCUUCAUAUCCUCUGACAAAGCAGUAGGACAAUCGGGCUUCCGAGCUGUGUGGACUGAAGUGUCUUUGGCAAGCGAAUGUGAGCCAGAUGAAUUUCAAUGCAGUAAAAAAGGAUACUGUAUUGCAGACACAUUACGUUGCAACAAAGUCAGGAAUUGUGGGUCUGAAGAUGCAACUGACGAGGAGAACUGUACAGCAUCAGCCCCGCUGGCACUAGCAUUGUCUGGAGUCUCUGACAUGCUUCUUCUCUCUCUGUGCUUUGUGUUCGUGACCAUCUGAGGCCUUCCUGAGGCUUCAAACGAUCCGGCAUGCUAUGAACUCCCUUAUCACGUACAAUCACAGUGCCUCCAGUGAGUUACGCGGUGCCAGUGGGAUCUGCAGCAGCAGCUGUACUUCUAGCUCUUAUUAUCUGUCUUUUGUGUCAUCGUAAAAUGAAAAGACGCGUCGAAGAGAUGAAUAUCGAUG